This 107-nucleotide small nuclear RNA is filed under the name Sus scrofa (pig). Lineage: Eukaryota; Metazoa; Chordata; Mammalia; Artiodactyla; Suidae. The record is from RNAcentral.
GUGCUCACUUCGGCAGCACAUAUACUAAAACUGGAAUGAUACAGAGAAGAUUAGCAUGGCCCAUGCGCAAGAAUGAUACGCAAAUUUGUGAAGUGUUACAUAUUUUU